RNAcentral lists this ribosomal RNA (459 nucleotides) under uncultured bacterium. Its description in RNAcentral is "partial 16S ribosomal RNA". It matches the Rfam family "Bacterial small subunit ribosomal RNA", at positions 338 to 795 of the family's 1533-position model. The record is from RNAcentral.
CCUACGGGUGGCAGCAGUGAGGAAUAUUGGUCAAUGGGCGGGAGCCUGAACCAGCCAAGCCGCGUGAGGGAAGAAGGUACAGCGUAUCGUAAACCUCUUUUGUCGGGGAACAAAGGCGGGGACUAGUCCCCGGAUGAGGGUACCUGAAGAAAAAGCAUCGGCUAACUCCGUGCCAGCAGCCGCGGUAAUACGGAGGAUGCGAGCGUUAUCCGGAUUUAUUGGGGUAAAAGGGUGCGCAGGCGGCCUGUUAAGUCAGCGGGAAAAGCCCGGGGCUCAACCCCGGCGAGCCGUUGAAACUGGCGGGCUGGAGUGUGAGAGAGGUACGCGGAAUGCGCGGUGUAGCGGUGAAAUGCUUAGAUAUCGCGCAGAACCCCGAUUGCGAAGGCAGCGUACCGGCUCCACACUGACGCUGAGGCACGAAAGCGUGGGUAUCGAACAGGAUUAGAUACCCUUGUAGUC